Molecule: long non-coding RNA, 1557 nt
Filed under: Monodelphis domestica (gray short-tailed opossum)
Lineage: Eukaryota; Metazoa; Chordata; Mammalia; Didelphimorphia; Didelphidae
Description: lncRNA (ENSMODG00000048573.1)
Source: RNAcentral
GAGGAGACCAACAAGCUGGAAGAUAUCCAGCUGGUGAAGUUGUAUCAACAUCUUUCUUCUGGGGAAGUGAGAAGGACCAUUCUGCCGUCUCAUCCUCUGAUCUCACACAGUCCUGUCCUGUCUCUCCUAUUCUCUCUUUCAUUUUUGUCCUUCUCUGCUCUCUGCUUCUAUUUCUCCAUCUGUCAUUUGUCUCUGUAUGUGCUUCUCUUUGUCUCCCUUCUAAUUUCUUUCAGGAUCGAACAUCCCUCAUUGUGGGAAAAUUCUUUGUUGUGUCUAAUUCAAAUCCCUUACUCUGUCGAUUAAAUCUCCUCUCUUUCUGGUUUUCUUUCUGGUCAAUAUGUUCUCCUCUGCAUCAGGGUCUCUUGAAACUGCUAUUAAUCAUGACUUCCUUGUGAUCUCCCUGCUUCCUCACGGGAAUCUAGGCCAGCGUUUCCACUAGGGACCAGUGUUGAAUGGCUUGACAGGGUGGAGAUGGAGGGAGAGCCCCCAGGGUCAGGGUGAAGAAGUGAAGGGUGCCAAAAAAGGAGGCAUCAGCCUCAACUUUUCCUACCUUCUUCCUGAUUCCCCCAGGACUCCGGCUCACUAACAGGGAAGGUGGAGUGUCAGAGAGAUCUUCCCAGAAACAGGCUGGAAAUACUGGAGCAGGAAAAUGCCCAGAUGGCCUUGGUGAUUCAGAGGUGGAAGCUGGAGAAGGGGCCAACACUUCAGAUAGAGCUGGAUGCCUGCAAGCAGGAGCUGGAACUAGAACGAAACUUGUGCCUGGCCCUGCAGCAUCAGCUUCGGGAGCUGCAAGGUGGUGGGGCUCAGCAGAGGGCAGAGCCCCCACAAGCAGUUCCAGGGCCAGGGCCAUGCCCCCCAGGGACCUCAAAGAGGAUGGAAGUUGAACCCCAGCGAGACACGCGCCAGUCCAGAGCAGAGCCUCCAAGGCCCCUGCAGGAGCUUCUAGGAUCUUCCUCAGGAAGUCCGCAGGUGCCCAAACUGCCUGGGCCAUUUCAGAGAGACAGCCAAGGGGGCCAGGGAGCAGGAGCUCCUGGGCCCUUGUUGGAGGCAGAAAUCUUAAGACAGCAGCUGCAGACAGAGAGAGCCUUGGGGCAAGAGCGGGAGCAGUACCUUCAGAGCCUCACCUCAGAACUUCAGGAGCUGAAGCUGAGGAAAUCAGAGGAGACCAAGGCUUCUCUGCUCACCACCCAGGACUGUGGACAGCAACAGCCAGAGACGGCUGAGUACCAGCUCAUGGCGUGCAGGAGCGAGAACCUGAGGUUGGAGCGCCUCGUGUCAUCUCUGCAACAGAAGCUGGAGGAGACGGAGCGGGCCCUGAAGGAGCCCCAGACACCGAGGGCCUCUGAGCAGGGGGAGCUGGAGAUGACGCCCUCCUCCCUGCUUAAGAAACUCUCUCUGAACUCCCGCCUGGGCUCCAGUCAGUUGGCCCCAGAAGACCUGAAGAGGGGACCCCGAACUGGCUGGGAGGGGGUUCCCCAGGGCCACUGCCCCCAUUGUAAUGCCUUUCUGGAACAGCUGGGUGCCAUGCUUCAAGGUGAGUUCCCCAUCGCCUGCUAG